GGCUGUGAGGGCGAUCUGACGGUGACAUCUGCCACUCCAUUGAUCACCAUGGUUGAUUUGGCCGAUCCGACUGGUUAGGCGAGUGUCCCCUUCCUCUCUCACCCCUCCAUGUGUGUCCCUCCUGAAGCUGAGUGCUCAAUUGAAGAGGACACCCAUCCCCGCUAGAGGAGAACCAUUCGCUUCCCCCUACCAGGAUCUCCAGAAAGCAGCUCGAGGUUCAGACACUCUGCAGGAAGGCUGGAGAAUGAACACAGCACCUCUGAAAAUGUGGAGACUGCCACACAGCUGGGCCAUAGGGCUGUGUCUUGACUU
This is an unclassified non-coding RNA of Carlito syrichta (Philippine tarsier), 312 nucleotides long. Its record names the gene 7SK. It matches the Rfam family "7SK RNA". From Rfam's summary of the family: 7SK was discovered as an abundant small nuclear RNA in the mid-70s but a possible function has only recently been suggested. Two independent studies have found that 7SK RNA binds the CDK9/cyclin T complex (known as elongation factor P-TEFb). P-TEFb activates transcription by phosphorylating the C-terminal domain of RNA polymerase II. Lineage: Eukaryota; Metazoa; Chordata; Mammalia; Primates; Tarsiidae. The record is from Ensembl.